CCAAUAGCGUAUAUUAAAGUUGUUGCAGUUAAAAAGCUCGUAGUUGAAUUUCGGGGUUAGUAGGCUGGUCGUGCCACAGGUAUGCACUGGUCUUACUGACUUCUCCUUUCUGAAGAACUGUAAUGCCAUUAAUUUGGUGUUGCAGGGAAACAGGACUGUUACUUUGAAAAAAUUAGAGUGUUUAAAGCAGGCUAACGCUUGAAUACAUUAGCAUGGAAUAAUGAAAUAGGACGUUCGAUCCUAUUUUGUUGGUUUCUAGGAUUGACGUAAUGAUUAAUAGGGAUAGUUGGGGGCAUUAGUAUUCAAUUGUCAGAGGUGAAAUUCUUGGAUUUAUUGAAGACUAACUACUGCGAAAGCAUUUGCCAAGGAUGUUUUCAUUAAUCAAGAACGAAAGUUAGGGGAUCGAAGACGAUCAGAUACCGUCGUAGUCUUAACCAUAAACUAUGCCGACUAGGGAUCGGACGAUGUUAAUUUUUUAAUGACUCAUUCGGCGCCUUACG
Molecule: ribosomal RNA, 500 nt
Filed under: uncultured Glomeromycotina
Lineage: Eukaryota; Fungi; Glomeromycota
Description: partial small subunit ribosomal RNA
Rfam family: Eukaryotic small subunit ribosomal RNA
Source: RNAcentral